GAUGAACGCUGGCGGCGUGCCUAAUACAUGCAAGUCGAGCGAACGGACGAGAAGCUUGUUUUUCUGAUGUUAGCGGCGGACGGGUGAGUAACACGUGGAUAACCUACCUAUAAGACUGGGAUAACUUCGGGAAACCGGAGCUAAUACCGGAUAAUAUUUUGAACCGCAUGGUUCAAAAGUGAAAGACGGUCUUGCUGUCACUUAUAGAUGGAUCCGCGCUGCAUUAGCUAGUUGGUAAGGUAACGGCUUACCAAGGCAACGAUGCAUAGCCGACCUGAGAGGGUGAUCGGCCACACUGGAACUGAGACACGGUCCAGACUCCUACGGGAGGCAGCAGUAGGGAAUCUUCCACAAUGGGCGAAAGCCUGACGGAGCAACACCGCGUGAGUGAUGAAGGUCUUCGGAUCGUAAAGCUCUGUUAUUAGGGAAGAACAUAUGUGUAAGUAACUGUGCACAUCUUGACGGUACCUAAUCAGAAAGCCACGGCUAACUACGUG
This 497-nucleotide ribosomal RNA is filed under the name uncultured bacterium. RNAcentral describes it as "partial 16S ribosomal RNA". It matches the Rfam family "Bacterial small subunit ribosomal RNA", at positions 28 to 507 of the family's 1533-position model. The record is from RNAcentral.